This 253-nucleotide ribosomal RNA is filed under the name uncultured bacterium. Its description in RNAcentral is "partial 16S ribosomal RNA". It matches the Rfam family "Bacterial small subunit ribosomal RNA", at positions 524 to 776 of the family's 1533-position model. The record is from RNAcentral.
UACAGAGGUCUCAAGCGUUGUUCGGAUUCAUUGGGCGGAAAGGGUGCGUAGGCGGCGGGGUAAGUCGGAUGUGAAAUCCCAGGGCUCAACCCUGGAACUGCAUUCGAUACUGCCUUGCUAGAGUGCUGGAGAGGAGACUGGAAUUUACGGUGUAGCAGUGAAAUGCGUAGAUAUCGUAAGGAAGACCAGUGGCGAAGGCGAGUCUCUGGACAGUUACUGACGCUGAGGCACGAAGGCCAGGGGAGCAAACGGG